This 403-nucleotide long non-coding RNA is filed under the name Homo sapiens (human). Its description in RNAcentral is "HSALNT0168293". Lineage: Eukaryota; Metazoa; Chordata; Mammalia; Primates; Hominidae. The record is from RNAcentral.
UGCUCCGGGAGGGGGCGGUUUCAGAAAGACAAUGCGGGGUGGGAGAGGAGGAGAAGGGGGUGGCGACCAAGUCAGGAAUCCGAGCCGAGGAAGGCGGAAGGAAAGCCCACUUGGGGGGCGGGGAUGGGGAGAGGCCCAUGUAAUAUUUAGAGAGUUUGGGGUUUCAGCAAAACUGUUUUAUAGGCUAAAGUCUCAGAAAGACUACUAAAAAUAAUGAUACCGAGAUUGACAAGGCCAACGAAUUCCCCUGCACUAAAACAAAUGUGUACAUUUAAUCAGACAGGAUUGCAUAGGAUACAAAGCACAGGGCUAAUUAGUCUCAGCAGGUAGGACUAACCUUCAGACUUCAUAAAUAAAUAAGGCAGGUGCAGUGUCUAAGAGGGAGAGUGGAGACAGAAAGGGG